Molecule: regulatory RNA element, 90 nt
Organism: Erwinia sp. Leaf53
Lineage: Bacteria; Pseudomonadati; Pseudomonadota; Gammaproteobacteria; Enterobacterales; Erwiniaceae
Rfam family: Peptidase-S11 RNA
About the family: Enterobacteria. Environment (Termite gut, fungus grower)
Source: Rfam
CGUAUUAUUCCUGCGCCAGCCCCAUCAAACCCGGUUUUUAUGAUGCGUGGCGGCGUGUGUACCCCACACCUGAACAACCAGCCGUUAAGU